Long non-coding RNA from Zingiber officinale, 1599 nucleotides. RefSeq lists it as uncharacterized. The record is from RefSeq and is a predicted model, not a curated record. NCBI's taxonomy places the organism in Eukaryota, Viridiplantae, Streptophyta, Magnoliopsida, Zingiberales, Zingiberaceae. The transcript has 3 exons.
GUGAUUUCUCAUUGCAUUGGUUCACUAGGGGUUUGCGUAUUUUGGAAUCUUGUCUUACUUCUGCAUGCUUACUUACUAAUUUCUAAAUUAUGAUCUAAAUGAUUAUUAUUUCUUACUACACUGCAAUUGUAUAAACUAAUUUGUCAGUUGAAGUUUAUUCAUAAGUUAUAAUUACUUUUCUAUCAUCAAAAUCACGUGGUUGUCUCUUUGUAUGAUGGCACAUCAUCUUUGUCGCCCCACACAUUGUCCAUCCCUUCUAUCUCAUUCUUAUGUUCUUUCAGUUCACACUUAAUGGUCAAACUUCUAGAUGAUUCCGUUGUCUAAAGUGAUCAGUAUUAGAAAAGAACUUCUAGAUGAAUCCGUUUUUAGUAUCUAAUACAUCUUUUGUAGAAUCUGAUAUUCUUCCCCUGAUUGCAUGCUUAGCAUAUUCUUGCUUUCAAUUUUGCUAAUUUUGUUUUUGGGCAUGUCAACUGUUAAGCAAUGUCAGUUAUAUAUUUCUGCAGUGUGGAAAUCUGUAUUUAUGUAUGUGCCUACUUAUUUAUCUGUCCAAAUGUCAGGUUGCCUUUCUUGUUUAUGUCCAGCAGUGGAAGAAAAAAGUUGUAUUUGUUUUAAAUAAAUUGGAUCUUUAUCGAACAAGCAGUGAGCUUGAGGAAGCAACUUCCUUUGUAAAAGAAAAUGCAUGUAGACUGCUUAACUCAGAAGAUAUAAGGUUAUUUCCUGUAUCUGCACGGUCUGCUUUGGAUGCGAAGCUCUCCUCUUCAAGUUACAGUUCGGUAAAAUAUAAGGAAGCCUUGUUUAGUGAUAGUCGUUGGAUGAGCAGUCAAUUUUAUGAGCCGGAGAAGUUCUUAUUUAGUCUUUUAGAUGGAACAACAGAAAGUGGCUUGGAGAGAGUGAAGUUGAAACUUGAGACACCACUUGCUAUUGCUCACAAGCUAUUAUCUUCCUGCCAAGCACUUGUAAAACAAGAAUAUCAAAUUGCCUGUGAGGAUUGAUUUCAAUCACUGGAAUCCUUAGCAGUUUAAAAGACUAUUCUGCAAAAAUUAAGAGUGAUAGGAAGAGUAUGAAAUUGCCUGUUACAUGGAGGAAGAGUAUCACUUCUUUGAUUGAGACAACAAAAUCUCGAGCACUGAAGCUGACAUAUUCCCUCCUCAGAUUGUCAAAUAUUGAUCUUAUUCCUGCAUAUGCUUUGAAAGCAGAAAGAACUGGUUCUACCUUCACUAUCUCAACUUUCCAAAAUGACAUCAUUAAUCCUGCUCUUUCUGAUGCACGAGUAUGUUUUUUGUUAUAAUUUAUAAUUUCAGAUGUUCCUUUCAUUUCUUUUAAGCAUAAGCAUAGUUUCUAGUUCAAUUAAUGUACAUGGAAUUGGUUUAACUGAGCAUAUUAACUAUGAUUUUUUCUGCAUCUUCUUUAAGUAGGACCUUGUAAGUGUAGUGUGCAUGCUGCAUACUUCCAUGUGUAGAACUACAAGAAUUGCUGAAUAGUAUCAAUAUUAUACUUCCAUGUGUAGGAUCUUUGGUACGAAGUUCACUAUAUCUAUAUUAUACAAUCCUUCCCAUAAACAAUCAAAUUAUUUCAAAAAUAAAUAAAUAAAUAAAAACU